AGCGAACGCUGGCGGCAGGCCUAACACAUGCAAGUCGAACGAACCUUUCGGGGUUAGUGGCGGACGGGUGAGGAACACGUGGGAACGGUCCGUUAGGUUCGGAAUAACUCAGGGACACUUGGGCUAAUACCGAAUGUGCCCUUCGGGGGAAAGAUUAAUCGCCUUUAGAGCGGCCCGCGUCUGAUUAGCUAGUUGGUUGAGGUAAUGGCUCACCAAGGCGACGAUCAGUAGCUGGUCUGAGAGGAUGAUCAGACACAUUGGGACUGAGACACGGCCCAAACUCCUACGGGAUGCAGCAGUGGGGAAUCCUGCGCAAUGGGCGAAAGCCUGACGCAGCCAUGCCGCGUGAAUGAUGAAGGUCUUAGGAUUGUAAAAUUCUUUCACCGGGGACGAUAAUGACGGUACCCGGAGAAUAAGCCCCGGCUAACUUCGUG
This 434-nucleotide ribosomal RNA is filed under the name uncultured bacterium. RNAcentral's name for it is "partial 16S ribosomal RNA". It matches the Rfam family "Bacterial small subunit ribosomal RNA", at positions 29 to 507 of the family's 1533-position model. The record is from RNAcentral.